GGCAUGGCGGCAGCUACACAUGCAAGUCGAACGGUAGCACAGAGUAAGCUUGCUCUCGGGUGACGAGUGGCGGACGGGUGAGUAAUGUCUGGGAAACUGCCUGAUGGAGGGGGAUAACUACUGGAAACGGUAGCUAAUACCGCAUAACGUCGCAAGACCAAAGAGGGGGACCUUCGGGCCUCUUGCCAUCAGAUGUGCCCAGAUGGGAUUAGCUAGUAGGUGGGGUAACGGCUCACCUAGGCGACGAUCCCUAGCUGGUCUGAGAGGAUGACCAGCCACACUGGAACUGAGACACGGUCCAGACUCCUACGGGAGGCAGCAGUGGGGAAUAUUGCACAAUGGGCGCAAGCCUGAUGCAGCCAUGCCGCGUGUAUGAAGAAGGCCUUCGGGUUGUAAAGUACUUUCAGCGGGGAGGAAGGUGUUGUGGUUAAUAACCGCAGCAAUUGACGUUACCCGCAGAAGAAGCACCGGCUAACUCCGUGCCAGCAGCCGCGGUAAUACGGAGGGUGCAAGCGUUAAUCGGAAUUACUGGGCGUAAAGCGCACACAAGCGGUCUGUCAAGUCCGAUGUGAAAUCCCCGGGCUCAACCUGGGAGCUGCGUUCUCAAAUGGGGUGCUAUAGACUCUUAAAGAGGGGGAUACAACUCCCAUGGGGCACGACUUAAAAGAAAUACAUAUCGUUUAAGGAUGUGGGUUAUCCG
This 700-nucleotide ribosomal RNA is filed under the name Enterobacter cloacae. Its description in RNAcentral is "bacterial SSU rRNA". It matches the Rfam family "Bacterial small subunit ribosomal RNA", at positions 34 to 695 of the family's 1533-position model. Lineage: Bacteria; Pseudomonadati; Pseudomonadota; Gammaproteobacteria; Enterobacterales; Enterobacteriaceae. The record is from RNAcentral.